Molecule: transfer RNA, 74 nt
Filed under: Thermoleophilaceae bacterium
Lineage: Bacteria; Bacillati; Actinomycetota; Thermoleophilia; Thermoleophilales; Thermoleophilaceae
Description: tRNA-Trp
Rfam family: tRNA
About the family: Transfer RNA (tRNA) molecules are approximately 80 nucleotides in length. Their secondary structure includes four short double-helical elements and three loops (D, anti-codon, and T loops).
Source: RNAcentral
GGGGCACUCGUUUUAAUGGCUAAGACCCCGGUCUCCAAAACCGGUGAUUCCAGGUUCGAGUCCUGGGUGCCCCG